RNAcentral lists this ribosomal RNA (612 nucleotides) under Triticum aestivum (bread wheat). Its description in RNAcentral is "partial small subunit ribosomal RNA". Lineage: Eukaryota; Viridiplantae; Streptophyta; Magnoliopsida; Poales; Poaceae. The record is from RNAcentral.
AUGGCAACAAUGCCGCCUACCUCCAUCGUCUUCUCUGCGAUAGUCUUCAUGCUCCUUUCCACUGCCACCGCUACUCAAGCCAAUGGCUCUGUCAGUGGCAAACCCAAGGCGGCACACCUCAUAGUGGAAGCAUGCAAGAACGCCUCCGACUACUGGCACAACAUCACAGAGGCAUUCUGUUUGUCAACCCUCCAGUCCGACAAUCGGAGUGCCAAGGCUAAGAACCUCCUUGACUUGGUGCUUGUCUCCAUUGAUAUCUUUAAGGGACAUGUCACUAAGGUUGGCGUUGAUGUCAAUAAAAUGCUGCAAAAUGCCAAGAAAGGCACAAUUAUGAUGCAUGCUCUCCGUUUUUGUGUGGUGGACUAUGAGACCGUGUUGAGCACCCUUAACAUCUGUGAAGCCAUCAUUAGGGAAUACCAAGCUGAAAAGCGUGGGAUGAAGUCCUCGAAUAUGCCCCAAUGUGUGGAUCUGGCAGAGCAUACUCUUAAUGAGUGCUUGUCUGAGCUUGCUGAUAUGCCAUGGGCGAAGGCGCUGAUCAAAGAAAAUGAGGAGCUGUGCAUGCUGGUCUACCUCAACACUAACUUGCUUGCACCAUAUAAUGUUCAUGAUUAA